GGACACUGAGGCACCGCGAGGUGGCUUGCCUAAGGUCACAGAGCCAAGCCAGCAUCCAGGAAACACCAUCCUGAGAGUCCCAAAUCUUAAAUCACAGUCCAGACGCCAGAACUGGAAGAGACUUUAGACACCAUCUGGAGUCCACGAUCCUCAAACUUCAAUGACUAGAGGAGCCGGCUGCGGUGUGGGGGAAACACGAAGCUGGAGUCUGCAGCCCAGGGGCUGGCUGCUUUAACAUGUGUCCUGCUGACCCUCAUGCAGAAGUUCUAGGACCCCACCUCAGGAAAUGCUGGUCCAGUCUCAUGGCCCCAUUUGCCAGGGGCUGACAGGGAGGCCCCCAGAGACUUCUGGACUGGGCGCAUGGGUAUGCACAGAGGAAGGCCAGGUGAGGACACAAGACGGUGGCCAAGGAGAAAGCUAUCACCAGACAUCAACUUGGACAGCAACUUAUCUUGGACUUUCAGCCCCAAGAAAAGAAUUUUUUGUUGUUGAAACUGUCCACCUGCAGUAUUUUGUUAGGACGGCCCAAGCUAACACAGUGGCCAUGACCCAGGCCACCCCUCACUUUCCCCUCCAGGUGUUUUGUCCCUUUCUUCCCCUGGAGAGGUUUUGGCUUGUCCUCUGUAGGCCUGUUCUAUGGCCCCAUCCUCCACAGAGUCGGCCCUGGGGAAUGUAAAGGGCCCUAGGGUCUGCUCACUGUUUGGAGAAUAGUGGGUCCCUGGGCUGAUGUCUCCUGGCCCUGCAGCCCCCUGAGACCCAGGGAAGCACAAGUCUCUCCAGCACAUGAAGGUUUAUGCAUGAGGUGGGUUUAGCUGUGUCUCACACUGGCCUACACAUUCAGGGCCUGAGCUUCACCAGGAUCCUGCUCCCUGCACAGGGGAGAUGGGAGGCUUGACCACAAAGUACCACACUGGCCUCCAUGACAAACCUUGUGCCACAGCUGUGGGAGCAUGGCCAGCCCUGGUCCACUUCCCUGGGCUUCAGGCCUUGUUCUGGGGAGCAGUUAGUGCAGCCUCAUCAGGAUGCUCACUUAGAGCCAGUGUCCUGCUGGGCCUGGGCCCUUCUCUGCCUAGGAGGAUGUAAUGGGCCUUAGGUCACAGGACCCAAUGCCCCCCAGGUGGGCUGUGGGGACCACAGGGCAUCCUAGAAACAGGCAUGCACAGCAGCGGCUUCAUGGCAGGUGAGUGUUCUUGUCAAGUGUCCUUGGGGAGAGGGGGAGAGAAGUCUACCAAUUACACAGCCACUCACAUGAGAACUUGAGUCUGCGCCAAAUGAAAAACAGAUUUCAUGUGGCAAGUGGCACCAACAACUUUUCCGGAAAGCAACUGUGUAUUUACACGUUGGCUGCCUUUUACGUUACAGAGGGGAAGGCAAGAGCAAUGUGCG
This is a long non-coding RNA of Prionailurus viverrinus (fishing cat), 1386 nucleotides long. RefSeq lists it as uncharacterized. NCBI's taxonomy places the organism in Eukaryota, Metazoa, Chordata, Mammalia, Carnivora, Felidae. The record is from RefSeq and is a predicted model, not a curated record. The transcript is spliced from 3 exons.